AUUGAACGCUGGCGGCAUGCUUAACACAUGCCAGUCGAACGGUAACAGGUGUAGCAAUACAUGCUGACGAGUGGCGGACGGGUGAGGAAUGCCUGGGAAUCUGCCUGUUAGUGGGGGACAACCCGGGGAAACUCGGGCUAAUACCGCAUACGCUCUACGGAGGAAAGCGGGGGACCGUAAGGACUCGCGCUUACAGAUGAGCCCAAGACGGAUUAGCUAGUUGGUGGGGUAAAAGCCUACCAAGGCGACGAUCCGUAGCUGGUCUGAGAGGACGAUCAGCCACACUGGAACUGAGACACGGCCCAGACUCCUACGGGAGGCAGCAGUGGGGAAUAUUGGACAAUGGGGGCAACCCUGAUCCAGCAAUGCCGCGUGUGUGAAGAAGGCCUGCGGGUUGUAAAGCACUUUUGGCAGGGAUGAAAAGCACUGGAUUAAUAACCCAGUGUGUUGACCUAACCUGCAGAGGAAGCACCGGCUAACUCUGUG
This 486-nucleotide ribosomal RNA is filed under the name uncultured bacterium. RNAcentral describes it as "partial 16S ribosomal RNA". It matches the Rfam family "Bacterial small subunit ribosomal RNA", at positions 30 to 507 of the family's 1533-position model. The record is from RNAcentral.